GUGAACUGUCACCCCUACAACUCAGCUUGCAACCAGCCCUGGCCACCACCAGUUUCCCCA
This 60-nucleotide long non-coding RNA is filed under the name Pan troglodytes (chimpanzee). RNAcentral describes it as "lincRNA". Lineage: Eukaryota; Metazoa; Chordata; Mammalia; Primates; Hominidae. RNAcentral also lists the same sequence under 1 other name. The record is from RNAcentral.